UGAAUUGACGGGGGCCCGCACAAGCGGUGGAGCAUGUGGUUUAAUUCGAUGCAACGCGAAGAACCUUACCUGGUCUUGACAUAUCUAGAAUCCUGCAGAGAUGCGGGAGUGCCUUCGGGAAUUAGAAUACAGGUGCUGCAUGGCUGUCGUCAGCUCGUGUCGUGAGAUGUUGGGUUAAGUCCCGCAACGAGCGCAACCCUUGUCCUUAGUUACCAGCGGUUUGGCCGGGAACUCUAAGGAUACUGCCAGUGACAAACUGGAGGAAGGCGGGGACGACGUCAAGUCAUCAUGGCCCUUACGACCAGGGCUACACACGUGCUACAAUGGUAGGUACAGAGGGCAGCUACACAGCGAUGUGAUGCGAAUCUCAAAAAGCCUAUCGUAGUCCAGAUUGGAGUCUGCAACUCGACUCCAUGAAGUAGGAAUCGCUAGUAAUCGCGGAUCAGAAUGCCGCGGUGAAUACGUUCCCGGGCCUUGUACACACCGCCCGUCACACCAUGGGAGUUGAUUGCACCAGAAGUGGGUAGCCUAACCUUUUAGGAUGGCGCUCACCACGGUGUGGUUGAUGACUGGGGUGAAGUCGUAACAAGGUAACCGUA
Molecule: ribosomal RNA, 599 nt
Filed under: uncultured bacterium
Lineage: Bacteria
Description: bacterial SSU rRNA
Rfam family: Bacterial small subunit ribosomal RNA
Source: RNAcentral